RNAcentral lists this ribosomal RNA (253 nucleotides) under uncultured bacterium. Its description in RNAcentral is "partial 16S ribosomal RNA". It matches the Rfam family "Bacterial small subunit ribosomal RNA", at positions 524 to 776 of the family's 1533-position model. The record is from RNAcentral.
UACGGAGGGUGCAAGCGUUAUCCGGAUUCACUGGGUUUAAAGGGUGCGUAGGCGGGCAGGUAAGUCCGUGGUGAAAUCUCUGAGCUUAACUCAGAAACUGCCAUGGACACUAUUUGUCUUGAAUAUUGUGGAGGUAAGCGGAAUAUGUCAUGUAGCGGUGAAAUGCUUAGAUAUGACAUAGAACACCAAUUGCGAAGGCAGCUUACUACACAGUUAUUGACGCUGAGGCACGAAAGCGUGGGGAUCAAACAGG